GAGGGUAUAGCUCAAGUGGUAGAGCACAAGCUUAACAUGCACAAGGUCCUGAGUUCAAUCCUCAGUACCUCCU
RNAcentral lists this transfer RNA (73 nucleotides) under Camelus ferus (Wild Bactrian camel). It matches the Rfam family "tRNA". From Rfam's summary of the family: Transfer RNA (tRNA) molecules are approximately 80 nucleotides in length. Their secondary structure includes four short double-helical elements and three loops (D, anti-codon, and T loops). Further hydrogen bonds mediate the characteristic L-shaped molecular structure. tRNAs have two regions of fundamental functional importance: the anti-codon, which is responsible for specific mRNA codon recognition, and the 3' end, to which the tRNAs corresponding amino acid is attached (by aminoacyl-tRNA synthetases). tRNAs cope with the degeneracy of the genetic code in two manners: having more than one tRNA (with a specific anti-codon) for a particular amino acid; and 'wobble' base-pairing, i.e. permitting non-standard base-pairing at the 3rd anti-codon position. Lineage: Eukaryota; Metazoa; Chordata; Mammalia; Artiodactyla; Camelidae. The record is from Rfam by way of RNAcentral.